Long non-coding RNA from Alligator sinensis (Chinese alligator), 1666 nucleotides. RefSeq lists it as uncharacterized. The record is from RefSeq and is a predicted model, not a curated record. The transcript has 5 exons. Lineage: Eukaryota; Metazoa; Chordata; Crocodylia; Alligatoridae.
ACAACUAAAAGAGUAACUUGACAAUCUGAUCAAUUGUCAACGCCUUCCCGUCACGACCUCCCAGACGUACCCUUCACCUGCAUGCUCGAUAAGACGUAACCUGCCGACCACCGGCCCGUAUAUACAUCUGCAGACCGACCUAAUGAACUCUAAGCUGUAACUAACUAAGUAUCUCUGACCUCCGUCAUUCACCACCUUGACGGCUUUCAAUAUAAGUGCUAUUGAAAAAUAAUCAAUGAGAGAUGGUGUUGACAAUCCAAGUUUAUCCAGAUAGAAAAGUGAAAGAACUUGAAGAUGUCUUUAAAUUACUAGGAAAUGGGACUUCAAUGCUUAAGGUCCAGACAUCUGUACAGUUGGAGAACAGUCUGCAUUAAAUGCAGAAGUUCCUGAAGGAUCUUUCCCUGACAUGCAAAUCUCCAUAUAGGCUCCUCAAAUCAUGAGUCACUGGCACCUGUUCUGAGAUUAUCUGAACAAUGAAGGACACAUGCCUUCAUUGAGUGUAACAUCAGAAUUCCCAGCUGGAUCCUGCAGCCAACCUACAGGAAAUCAGGACCAAUAUUAUGAGAUGCUUAGGACUUUCAAGGUCUGAGGCUCCACAAAAGAAGCAGCCAUUAUGAAAUUAGGCUUUUCUUCCUCAAAGAUGACUGCAAUCUUGGGGUGUUUUUCUUUUAUAUCGUCAUUUCAUUAAAGUCGCUUGUAAAUAACGUUUAGGGAUGGUCUCUUUAGUUUCCAUUCCCUGAAAUAAAUAUCUACAUAUUCCAUUACACCACUGGUGCUCAACCAAUCCAGCCCUGUAGGCUGAACAAGUGGCAUUGGGCCAGUCCGUGUGCCAGAUCCAGUGAAAGAUCAAUCCACAAGCACAAUCUGGCCAUAGUGUGACCUUUAGACCACAGAGCUCCCCACAAGUCUCAAUAUUUGGUGUUGGGGACACAGUGACAGUAUUAAUUACCACAGCUCUAGGAGCAAUUAAUGCUGCUACGGCUCCUUGCCACCAAUUUUUCAGACCUGCAGGGAACCUAUAGCCAGGAUGAUACAGUGUCGCAGGUCAGAUCCAGUCCAUAGGAUGGAUACCACUGAAUUACACCAUACACUUUCAUACUCAUUUAAAAAGUGUCCUUAUUUCACAGCAAUGGAGACUUCUAAGUCCUUUUCAAAUCAUAGAUCCAUCCGUAGAGACCAGUCUUCAGAAGGAGCUCCAGCUUUUAGUUAAGCAGGAAAGGGAGGACGAGUCAGCUGUAUUACAGAAAAUACAGAAAAAUUUCUGUAUUUCAGCUGUAUUACUGUAUUUUCUGCGUACAGAAAAUACAGUAAUUGCCACCACAUUUUACUAUUGAGAAUGAAAAAGACAGUGAUCUACUAUAUUUACUCAAAUCCAAGUUGACCCUUAAUUUAAGAAGACCCCCCAUUAAUUAGGUUCUAUAUGUGGAAAAUGUAUAAAUUUGUUAUAAUUUUCCAGGUAUAGAAUCUAAUUAUUGGAGAGUUGUCACCUUCCCCACAUUGCUACAGAAGGAAAAGCAGUGGCUAGUGGGGGUGAAAUGACCCCCUUGCCCUCUGGGCCCCACCCCACUUCUCCUUUCAGUCUUCUGCCGCCCCCCCCGGCACGCCCCCACUCCCAGCUCCCCAUAAUCUCUGCCCCUCCCCUGCCCUUCCCCACAAUCCCUGCCCC